UCCUACCAUUUUCAACGAAGCUCUGUGGGUCUCUGUGCACCCUCUAGCGCUCUUCUGUCUUUUCACUGCUCCUCUCCCGACCCCUCGCCUCACACCCUCCCACACCGUCAACCGACGUCCAUGUCCGAGGUGUUAAAGCUGGAAAAGACGCUGCGGAAGCAGACGACGUCCGACGACGUGCAAGCUUCCAAAAUCGCCUCCACGGCGGAACGCAUCUUGUCCUUGCAGCCGAACCACGUGUACGCGAUGCAGUGCAAGUCUGUCGCCCUGCUCCACAGCGGGCGGUUCGCUGCUGCGCUGAGCGUGCUAGAAAACCUCCAGCUCGAGGCAACGCCCUUCAAAAACAGCGCGACCUUCCACCUGCACAAGGCCUACUGCCAUUACCGUCUCAUGCAAUACACUGAGGCCAGGGCGGAGCUGCAAGAGCGGCAGCAAAGGGGGCCCAUGUCCGCGGCGGCCCGCCACCUGCUGGCCCAGAUCCACUACAACCUCGAGGAGUACGCCGAGGCGGCCGCCAUGUACGCGGAACUCGUAGCCGACGGUGCCUACCGCGACGACGUGGAGAAACAGGAGCUGCUCACCAACUACACGGCCUCUCUAUCCGCCUGUGCGCCGGAGAAGGUUGCGGCGGUGGUGCGUGAUGAGGCGGACGAGAAGACACCUGACCUGCUCUUUAAUCUUGCCACCGCUCAGGUGGAGGCGCAAAACUACGAGGCCGCGCAGGCCACUCUACUCCAAGCAGAGCAACUGUGCGCUGCCAUCUUCCCGAAGAGCAAGCUGCGCUCUCUGAAGGAUGCGCUUGCUGCUAGCAGUGAGGUGCUGCAGGCACAGCUCGGCGUCCAGCUCGGGGCACCGACGAGCAUCGGUGGUAGCAGCUCUAUCGCCACCUCACCGGAGCGCUGUUUCUUCAACGAGGUGUGCAGCAACUGGGUGCAGCAGGCGUACAUUGCCUUCAUGCGGCACCGCGAAGAUGACGCGCGACGCAUUGUUGAUCUGAUCCUCACGUACAAGCCGAGCUCCGCCGUCACGAGCGCCGUCGCCGGCAUUCUGUAUACGGCCCUGCAGCGCAGCGCGGACUUCUUCGACUCACACCGCAAGCUCAAGGCGGCCCAGCACGUCAAGGUGUUGCCGCGCCUCACAUCGAAGCAGCUCAUCGCCGUUCAGUACAACACGGCCCUGCUGCAGCUGAGCGCCGGCGCCCUCGACCGUUGCACCCGCACAGUAGAGCAGAUGGAGAAGGCGCACCCGAACAACGAGCUGACGCACUCGCUGCGUCUCGUGCUGGCCGUGCGCGAGCUCAAGAAGAAGAAGUCCCUGCCAGCGAGCUCGCCGUCGUCGGCCUCGAGGCCCACGAGGACCGCGACGGACAGCGCGCGUGACGUACAGGAGUGCGUGCGCAACUACGAAGCGGAGGCUACGCGGCACCAGGGUGCUGGGAGCUCGGAGGCCGGAAACCGGAAGCGCCAUCGCUUCCUGCAGCUCAUCACUGCCCAGCUCUUCCUCGAACAGGGCGACCUGGCGCACGCCGUGGAGACGCUGAAAGCGCUGGAGGGCUCCACAGUGGCGCGGCGUCCGACGACGGUGAUGACGAUGGCCGCCUGGGAGGCGCAGAUUGGCGACGUCGACGCUGCCAUGGCGCUGCUGCGCGAGCGGCUCACUGCCACGACUUGUGGCUACUCUAUCGCUGUAAAGAAGGCAGUAUUGCUCUGGGCCGUCCAGGACCUCGCCAUGGCUCGCGGCCACUACGCUGCUGUGGGGCAGCUGCUCAAAGCGGUGCAAGCUGCGGACGCAAGCCUGGAGAAGGACCGCGAGGUGACGGCGUUGCUGGUCAUAUGCCUCGCCGAAACGGACUUGGCUGCGGCGAAGCGCGUCAUCGCCACCCUCGACGCGGACGCCGCGGCGGCGCUGAGCGGCGCUGGCAGCAACAGUCACACCGCCCCGUCGGAUAAGCAGAUCGAGGCGCUGGUGCGCGGGAAUCCCGGCGCCGCCGCCAUGAGCGAACUGGGGUAUCGUCGCGUGACGGUGGUGGAUCAGGAGGGCGCUGCCGCUGAUGGAGGCCGCGCCGCCAGUGGUGCUGGUCUGCCGCAGCGCCGUCGCCGCGCCAUGCGUCGCCCUGCGAAGAACAUGGAUGGCAAGCCAGACCCUGAGCGCUGGAUCCCGAUGUCGUUGCGCUCCUACAUCAAGGAUCUGCCGGAGCGACGCAAGAAGGAGCUGAGGCGGCUGCGCGCCUUCGACCAGGAGCAGAAGCGCCGUGCCGCAGCAGCGGCAAGCCACAAGCAGAAGAAGGACGAGCAACUGCAGCGGCAACAUGUGGCAGAGGCCUCCCCCGUCGCCUCAGCUGCGUAAAACGGCGAUGGGCUUCGCGCGUGGUGACUUUCUGUCUGGUAAUGUUGCCGACGGCCUGUCUUAUCUGUAAUGGAUCUCUCGUGUGGCCAUUUAUAAUGCUGUCAUGGCUCACUGUUUCUGUCCUGCGCCUCCCGCUUGCGCAGCUCACACAGCGGAGCUAGGUACAGUGUGUUCCCUGUGCUGGCACACUGCCGAAGUCGUUUUCCUUGGCUGUUGUCUAUGAAUGUGUGUGUGUGUGUGUGUCUCCCGCCCCACCGCCAUCAUCACGACCACGAUUGUGAGUGGAUUGCACGAGGUCAAACUGCCAAAAACCGAUCAAAGAGCUCCUGUGGAGUAGUCUCUUGCCCCUCUCUCGCUCGGGUGCAACACUUCUUUUCGGUGACGGCACACUCAGGGGGAGUGCCGUUGGAGGUGAAGGAUAUGUAGGCUGUGUGUGUGUGUGUGUGUAGUGUAUAUAGCUUCUCAUUGGAGGGAGACGCACCCCUCCCCCUCCCCCUUCUCCAGCCUUCUCGAUCUGUCUUCUCCGCGCUGACGACUGCUGCGCGCACCACAACCCUCACGUAUGUGUACGUGUACGCGUGCCCCCGCGAAG
Molecule: unclassified non-coding RNA, 2938 nt
Filed under: Leishmania donovani
Lineage: Eukaryota; Euglenozoa; Kinetoplastea; Trypanosomatida; Trypanosomatidae
Description: gene:LdHU3.19.0870(CDS-product:signal_recognition _particle_protein_putative)
Source: RNAcentral